UACGGAGGGUGCAAGAGGGAUCCGGAUUCACUGGGUUUAAAGGGUGCGUAGGCGGGUUGGUAAGUCCGUGGUGAAAUCCCCAAGCUUAACUUGGGAACUGCCGUGGAUACUAUCAAUCUUGAAUAUCGUGGAGGUAAGCGGAAUAUGUCAUGUAGCGGUGAAAUGCUUAGAUAUGACAUAGAACACCAAUUGCGUAGGCAGCUUACUACACGAUCAUUGACGCUGAGGCACGAAAGCGUGGGGAGCAAACAGG
This 253-nucleotide ribosomal RNA is filed under the name uncultured bacterium. Its description in RNAcentral is "partial 16S ribosomal RNA". It matches the Rfam family "Bacterial small subunit ribosomal RNA", at positions 524 to 776 of the family's 1533-position model. The record is from RNAcentral.